UACGUAGGUGGCGAGCGUUGUCCGGAUUUACUGGGCGUAAAGGGAGCGUAGUCGGACUUUUAAGUGAGAUGUGAAAUACUCGGGCUCAACUUGAGUGCUGCAUUUCAAACUGGAAGUCUAGAGUGCAGGAGAGGAGAAUGGAAUUCCUAGUGUAGCGGUGAAAUGCGUAGAGAUUAGGAAGAACACCAGUGGCGAAGGCGAUUCUCUGGACUGUAACUGACGCUGAGGCUCGAAAGCGUGGGGAGCAAACAGG
RNAcentral lists this ribosomal RNA (253 nucleotides) under uncultured bacterium. RNAcentral describes it as "partial 16S ribosomal RNA". It matches the Rfam family "Bacterial small subunit ribosomal RNA", at positions 524 to 776 of the family's 1533-position model. The record is from RNAcentral.